UACAGAGGUCCCAAGCGUUGUUCGGAUUCAUUGGGCGUAAAGGGUGCGUAGGCGGCGCGGUAAGUCGGGUGUGAAAUCUCGGGGCUUAACUCCGAAACUGCAUUCGAUACUGCCGUGCUUGAGGACUGGAGAGGAGACUGGAAUUUACGGUGUAGCGGUGAAAUGCGUAGAUAUCAGGAGGAACACCUAUGGCGAAGGCAGCUCGCUGGGACGGUACUGACGCUGAGGCGCGAAAGCGUGGGGAGCGAACAGG
This 253-nucleotide ribosomal RNA is filed under the name uncultured bacterium. RNAcentral describes it as "partial 16S ribosomal RNA". It matches the Rfam family "Bacterial small subunit ribosomal RNA", at positions 524 to 776 of the family's 1533-position model. The record is from RNAcentral.